Molecule: long non-coding RNA, 746 nt
Organism: Myxocyprinus asiaticus (Chinese sucker)
Lineage: Eukaryota; Metazoa; Chordata; Actinopteri; Cypriniformes; Catostomidae
Exons: 4
Source: RefSeq, a predicted model, not a curated record
UCCAGUCACUUUUUAAAACAUUUGAAGUCUGCAUAUACAGCAUCACAAUGCAAUCUUCCUAUACAUGAAAUAGUUAUUUAUUUGGACUCUCAUUUUUUGUCCCUGCUUAUUGAAAAUGCGAGUGUGUUAUGUUACUCUUUAUUGCAGCAGCAUUACCUUCAGCGGUGCACGUUUUACCUCAAUAGAAACAAGUUUAAGAAACUGAGUGCAGGCCUGAACAUGGCCCAACUUGCAGGCAUAAUUUCUAAAGUGGUCAAUUGGAAUUCACGAGGAACACAUGGAUAUUGUAAAAGUUAAACAAGUACAAGCUUGCCCAGAGUUUUCCUAAGCUGUUUGUGAUUGUUGUAUGGUUCUGGGUUGAGCAUGUGUAUCUCAAGUUCCUUGAAUACAGAACCACCAUGGAGUUCCAGAACCUUUGUGGAGACCCUGGAUUUAAAUUUGGUGUCAAAUUCAGAGAUGUGCCUGCCUUAUCAGUAUGUGCUGUUGAAUAAAUCUCACAGCUGUCUUGCAGAACGCUGUCUGAUAGUCUGAUAAGUCCACCUCGGGACUUCAUGAUGAUCAGUGUGUGUCCAAGUUCAUCUUGAGAAGAGCUCUCGACACUGAGUGCUGAUAAACAGGCUGAAUGUCACUUUGCUGAAAUUCCAGCAUAUCAGAAGGUGUUGCCUCCAGCACCACUGUACUAUCCAGUGGAGAACAGUUGCCACUAGCUCUGAUGGCAUGUCUUGCUACCAUUCUUUUGAAAGCUG